This is a long non-coding RNA of Dicentrarchus labrax (European seabass), 3555 nucleotides long. RefSeq lists it as uncharacterized. The record is from RefSeq and is a predicted model, not a curated record. NCBI's taxonomy places the organism in Eukaryota, Metazoa, Chordata, Actinopteri, Moronidae. The transcript has 2 exons.
ACCGUUACCGUUAGCAGGCUGCUGGAGAGGCCAGCAAGGUUGUUGUGCUGCUUUCAAUGACAAGCAAUAAAGUUAAUCUAAGCCUUUAGUUGGAAAAUAUAGCGACAAAAUAUCACUCCUGUUACAUGUCAACUGGAAACAGCAAUGCUUUAUAUGAAUGUUUAGUAUUACAGAGUGACAGUUUCAGGCAGAAAUCUUCCACGACAGAAUCGUUUGUAUUCCAGCACGGGGGCAGUUAUGAUGGCUAACAUAACGAGCUAUUAAGCUACACAUUGGGAAUCACAGCUGUCUAUACACAUGACAUUAAAUGUGGACUAAGGUUACAAUGUAGUAGUUAGUAACUGUCGUUACCCUUCGCUAUACAUGCUGUAUACAACUAACGUUAAAUACAUUCCUGAGUCAAAUGGUAAACCAGCGACGCUAGCAUGCUAGCUGUAGCUAACAGUGGCUAGUCGAGACAGAGUCGUUGUUAACCGUUUUAGCUAACGUUACAGAUAACUUGAACUGAUUUUAUUGGGUUUUUUUUACCAAGCAUAGUAUAAAUGUGAGUCAUACGUUAAUUCAAUAAAGGGACAAGUACAUCGUUAUCACUGUUGUGAUGAGUGCGUACAGCUGAAGUGGAUUAGCUAACACUGCAGACAGUCAGCUGACACGGAUGGUAGCCACACCGAGGAUUGAGACAUCGUGAAAUGUCUUUAUUUAAAUGUUGGUUUGAGAUUGGAACAUCCAUUGUAAACUUUACUGCCUUUUGAGCGCUCUUGCUGCCGUAAAGUUACUGUGUGCUGCAAUUACACAGAAUAAACGAUCUGUAUGAUUGUAUAUUGGCAUUUUCAACAUGUUGAAGCAGAGACUGGUGACUAAUGGGAUGAUCUCUCAUGUGACACGGUCACAUGACACGGUCACAUGAGUGCAACCGGCAGUGGUGUUGAUGAGACCAGAUAACCUGCAGUUUCUGGCCUGAUGGAAUUAAAGAUUUUUUUAGUAAUAGUAAUGCUUACUAAUAGAACACCACCCAAAAUAUAAAAUCAUUUUGGUUUACAGACAGUUGUUUGUCAGAUGGAAUGUUUGUUGUUUUGCAUUAAAGGGGACAUAUUAUGCAAAACCAACUUUAAAUCAUUUGAUUAUGUACAUUUGGGACUCUGGAGGCCUAUCAGCAGGCAAAGUGUGGAAAAAAAGGACUCAGUCAUGUUUUUGUGGGCUGCCUCAGAUUUUUCCCCAUUGAUGACGUUUUCCCCGUUAUUGACGUCAGUUAUGUUGCCACCCACCACAGUUUACUGACUUGUUGACUAGCCUGCAGCCUGCAGCCUAAUGUCUGGGCAAAGGCUUCAGCAGACUAACUGUUCAGUCAUUGGCAACACAGCCCAACACUAAUUUACAUAUGUAUGAACACAGUGGAUUUAUUUUUAAUUUUGACGGCAAUGUCCGUCGGAAAAGCCGGAACGUGUGUGAACCACUUUGUGUCGGACUGUUUUCACAACCUCGGUCAGUACAACACUGGACUGACUGAAAGACUGUUCCUGAAAGAGGGAUUGUACCAACUGUCUGUGGAGAGACGGCAGAGGAAGUCACUGUAAGUAUUUUUAAGAGUUUAUGCUGUUUUUCAUUGUUCGUGUAAUGCUAGAACAUGCUAACCGUUGUUAGCUACAGGAGCCUCAGUGAUGCUAACGUAGUUAUUGUUUGUUAUGUUUGCAAGAUGAAAAUGAAACUUAUAAGGUGAGGUCAAUUUAUUAAGCCAGCUGGUGCAGAUGUCUCCAUAUUCUCCCCUGCUGAUAUUUGUUAUAGAGAUUCACACAAAGUUUAUGCCGUGAAUCACCAAGCUUCGUGCUGGGGGGGGUGUCUGUAUUUUGUAGAACAGGGAAGAUAACGUCUGUUAGAUUUAAUUGUCUUUAACCUGGUAACUUACACAUCUGCUGGGUAGCUAAGUAGCUGUUCACCGUGUGGAUUAGGGCUGUGCUAAAAAAUCGAUGUAUCGCAAUAUUUAUUUACGUGAUAUACUACAUCGAUUACCAGCUCCAAAAAUCGAUAUUUUGAAGGGGGAAAAAAACCAUGUUUUAAACAGGUUGUUGUGAUGUGAACUACAACCUCCGCUCCUGUAGGUGUCGCAGUACCACUCUAGUUGCCCCGAAUUGGCGGGCGCAGUUUUUGGCAGAGUGAGAAAUGGAAGCAGCAUGUCUACUGACGGUAUUAGAGCAGCGCCUUCAAAAUACAAAGCUGAUGUGUGGGUGCACUUCGGUUUCAAAAACAAACCAGGGAGCAUGGACUUGGAUAAAGCAAAUGCAAUUUGCAAGCUCUGUCACACUGCAGUGAAAUAUUCAGGUAACACAACCAACUUGCGAACUCACCUUGUCAGACGCCAUGCAGAUGCAGAAAAGCGUUACAGCAGCAACCAAAACCUGUCGACGCUAGGCAAACUACAAUAAGGUGACAAUAAGGAGUACUUGUGCAUAUGCAAUUGUGAACUGAUGAAGCUCAGGUGUUCCUGGACCCAUCAGAGGACAGAGACAGCUGCAGCAUCAGGACAGUCUGACGGACACGAUCUGCACAGUUUAUAUAAGUUAUAGCUUUGUUACUUGCAACAUGUGUAACUGGAAUAUGAAUUAAACAUAAAGUGGUUUACUUUUACGAAUAGUUUUGGUCAUUUUUAAAUUCAGUAAUAAGUGUGGUUUUAUAUAAAUAACAUGUUAUUUCACAGAGGUUUUAGGAAGAUUUCCUGCAUGUACAAGAGUUGAAAACCUGGUUCGUGUAACAUCUGUCAAUAUGAAAAUGUGAAAUUUAAACCUGUAGUAAAUGACUGUAAGCAGCACAAUACAUUACUGUCUCACAUUCAAACUUUAUCAUGUUGGAAGAUAAAUGGCAUCACUAUAUAUAAUAUAAAUGAUAGAAUAUUCAAUGUGUAUAUAUACAGUAUUUUUAAUAAUGUCUCCUUUUAAAAGUUGUCAUAUUUUAUAAUGAAUAGUGGCACAGUAUCUUUAUAUCAAUCAAUCAACUAUUUGUAUAGCACAUUUCAUACAGGUUGGUGCAGUUUAAAGUACUUCACGAUUCAUCACUUCAUGAUUGGAAAGAUGAUGAUAAGACAGAAUGCAGUACAAAUUAAAUAAGGUAUACCGGUAUUUAAAAAUUGAGUGCAAUGAUAAAAAUGACAAUAAAAUACAGAUAUAAUGAUAGCAUUAUAUUAAUUCAUAUUAUAGUAAGUUAUACUAAAAACUACAUGAAAUAAAGAAGGAAAGCAGGCAGAAAUAACAAAUAAAACAAUUGGAAGGAUAUUUAAAAUAAAUGGACAUUGAAAAAGCUGAUAACAUCAAUGAGAAAUUGAAUGCAAUUUCCCCUUGAGGGACGAAUAACGUAUUUUGAAUGUCAUUUCUGGUAUUAUAUUAGCUCAUGGGAGAUAAAGGUUUAGAAGUUGAUAAGUCCAGCUGCUGUUAUUGUCUUUAUUGUAUCGUAGGGAUUCAACUGAUGAUUUUCGUCAUCAGUCAAUCUUUCGUUCAUUAUCUUGGUUACUUGAUCUGUCAUUUGGUCCAUAAAUAAAACUGUAAAAAUUAAACUUCUUUCUUCAAA